RNAcentral lists this ribosomal RNA (396 nucleotides) under uncultured bacterium. Its description in RNAcentral is "partial 16S ribosomal RNA". It matches the Rfam family "Bacterial small subunit ribosomal RNA", at positions 523 to 918 of the family's 1533-position model. The record is from RNAcentral.
AUACGUAGGUGGCGAGCGUUGUCCGGAAUUAUUGGGCGUAAAGAGCAUGUAGGCGGCUUAAUAAGUCGAGCGUGAAAAUGCGGGGCUCAACCCCGUAUGGCGCUGGAAACUGUUAGGCUUGAGUGCAGGAGAGGAAAGGGGAAUUCCCAGUGUAGCGGUGAAAUGCGUAGAUAUUGGGAGGAACACCAGUGGCGAAGGCGCCUUUCUGGGCUGUGUCUGACGCAGAGAUGCGAAAGCCAGGGUAGCGAACGGGAUUAGAUACCCCGGUAGUCCUGGCCGUAAACGAUGGGUACUAGGUGUAGGAGGUAUCGACCCCUUCUGUGCCGGAGUUAACGCAAUAAGCAUUCCGCCUGGGGAGUACGGCCGCAAGGUUGAAACUUAAAGGAAUUGACGGGG